RNAcentral lists this ribosomal RNA (485 nucleotides) under uncultured bacterium. RNAcentral describes it as "bacterial SSU rRNA". It matches the Rfam family "Bacterial small subunit ribosomal RNA", at positions 30 to 507 of the family's 1533-position model. The record is from RNAcentral.
AUUGAACGCUGGCGGCAGGCUUAAUACAUGCAAGUCGAGCGGGGAGAUGUAGCUUGCUACAUUACCUAGCGGCGGACGGGUGAGUAAUGCUUAGGAAUCUGCCUAUUAGUGGGGGACAACAUUCCGAAAGGAAUGCUAAUACCGCAUACGCCCUACGGGGGAAAGCAGGGGAUUUUUGGACCUUGCGCUAAUAGAUGAGCCUAAGUCAGAUUAGCUAGUUGGUGGGGUAAAGGCCUACCAAGGCGACGAUCUGUAGCGGGUUUGAGAGGAUGAUCCGCCCCACUGGGACUGAGACCCGGCCCCGACUCCUACGGGAGGCAGCCGUGGGGAAUAUUGGACAAUGGGCGAAAGCCUGAUCCAGCCCUGCCGCGUGUGUGAAGAAGGCCUUUUGGUUGUAAAGCACUUUAAGCGAGGAGGAGGCUACCGAGAUUAAUACUUUUGGAUAGUGGACGUUACUCGCAGAAUAAGCCCCGGCUAACUUUGUG